RNAcentral lists this small nuclear RNA (45 nucleotides) under Arabidopsis thaliana (thale cress). Its description in RNAcentral is "ncRNA (U5.13)". The record is from RNAcentral. Lineage: Eukaryota; Viridiplantae; Streptophyta; Magnoliopsida; Brassicales; Brassicaceae.
AAACUGAUGGUGAAGUAUUCUAAUUUGUAACAACAGCAUAAAUAU